This is a long non-coding RNA of Salmo salar (Atlantic salmon), 1672 nucleotides long. RefSeq lists it as uncharacterized. NCBI's taxonomy places the organism in Eukaryota, Metazoa, Chordata, Actinopteri, Salmoniformes, Salmonidae. The record is from RefSeq and is a predicted model, not a curated record.
AUUUGUGAUGCCCUACACAGAGGGGCAUGCGCUUCUGUGUUUAUCUUCUGCAGAAGUGCAUGCUAAUUUUGCAUGGAAGAUAAUAAACAAUAAAAACUGUCUAAAAGAUAGUUGUUGAGAGAAUUUCUCAACCAUAAAUUAACAGCGGCUGCUGACGAGAUAUUUGGGUUCUUAGAAAAAACGAUAGCAGAGUACCAGGUAGACGUUUUCCGUACGAAGAGGAGAAGAACGUCUUCGUGGACUGUUGAUGUUGCAUAAAGGAGAUAUGUAGCUUCAUACAGUCAAUUGUUUGUAGCGUCUAACCACAUACAAAAUGGGAGGGGUAGCUACACGGGUGUCUAUCUAAUAACGUUAGCAAGCUUUCUACUCAGAUCCAAAAUGUUUGUCAAUGGCGAAUCUUCAUUGAAAGUGCCGGUUACAAAACCUACAUUUAUAGUAAAGUCCAGGAACUGGCCUUAGAGCUGAGAUCCUCAAAGUGUGAAGCAGCGCCACUGCAUUUAUUCCGGUUUUGUUUUUGAAAAGGAGGAGACGAGCAUCCAGCAACGCAACCUGGUCUCAACGUUUCAUAUUAUUCUAGUCAGACUGCCAGCAGCAGGCUGAAGCUACGAUCACUUUGGUGCAGGUUGCCCCUGAGCAGCACAGUGUAAAGAGGAAGAGGAUUCACACUGGAUCAGUGAGGUUGAAAAACACAUUCAAAGGCUGGAGUCUGAUUCCAAAGAAGAUCCAGACCAAGUAUCCACUUCUGAAGGUACAUGCUGAGUUUCAGAGAAUCCCCAACCAGAGCCUGCAGCAGACGUUCUACACUGCCUUGGACCACCACACGCCCCGCCUGCUGACCCUGUUCAGGGAGAAGGAGGGGAAGUCCACCACCCAUGAGGAAGUUCUCAAGCAUCCUGAGAGUAUGCAACGAGCAGUUCACUUCACAGAGAGAAAAGAACAUCACCGGGGCCCGUUCUGCAGUCCUGGCUGGUCUCCCUUUGUUGUUACGAGAGGAUAGUUCUGAUGUCUUCAAAAUCGGCGAGGUGGGAGAACUCAUCAACCCUGGUAUUCUUGGAUGGAGUUUCCAUUCUCUCAGUGGUGGGCCAGCACAAUGAGGUGGUGGGUGGUAUACCCAUCAGACCGGCCCAUGUAUCCGUUGUCCUUGAGGAUGAGAUCGUCAUGACUAACUCCCGCUCCUGGCCAGACGCUCUCGUGGUUGUUUUUGGGCUACUCUACUCCCUCCAUCUGAACUACCCCAAAGCCCUGGGCAGCACCUCUGCAGAAAGUCUUCCUGAACCUCGACGAUGGAAAACUGAAGCCCAAGCUGCUAGCGCUGAAAAAUGAACUGUUGGCCUAAAUCUGUAGUGAUGAGAUGGAAUUUUACUUUCAGUGACCUCCUAUAUGCCGAGUGAGUGGUUUGAAAACAAUGGUUAUUUUUGUUUGGUUUGCUUUUUAUAUUUUUGUACCUUUUUUGUGAAGGUAAUGGAUUUGAUAUUGUAUUUCAAUUCACUUAUAACCCUUUUAUGUGCAAAGAAGACACAGGUCAGUCAGCACAUUAACUUGCCACAUACAGUAGGUCUGUGACCCAGUUCUCUACCUUUUAUACAGCUGCAGAAAACCCCCAAAUGUAUUCUAGAAGAUUUCACCUUUGCAGACAUUCCGAUUGGCACAAAAUAAAUGUUGAUAAAAUGUG